UUUAAGGAGUCACUUUUUGAUAUCAAUUGAUUUUCUCAGCCGACAAAGUUACGAAAUAAGGACGAAUUGGAAUACGUUUUCAUCAUUCUUUUUAUUCACUCAACUAUUCAAGAAUGUCGGAACGAUUCGGGAUGACAACUGAAGCGAUUACGACGAGCAUGAGUGGCUAAAUGACUCGUGACUUCCGCCUGGACGAACGUUUGCCUGGUUUGAUAAAAUAUACAUUCAAAGUAUACAACCGUUGACCGACUCCCCAUCCAUUCAGCUUAGCAUAUUAAACACUGCAACCCCCACAGGAAAUUACUUCAUAAUUACCAUUUUCAAGACUGAUUCAAAUUAGUACUGUUUGCUUGAGCUGUCUUAAAAAUUGGCAUUUUUUGUUUUCAAGCUUUUGGUUGCUUGAGUUGUGCUCGGUUGACAAGUUGUCUAGGCUGUUAGCUUGAGGGGAAUGGAACGCACCCUCCCCGUGAUCCUCCUUUGGUUUGUUUUCGGGUUUUUUAAUUUCUUAAGAGUUUGUGGGAAUGCUGAAGGUAUGUGCACUCAAAUGUUUUUAAUACUCAAGGGCAAACUAGGUAACAUAAAUAUAUUAUCUGCUCCUAAACUAUGCAAUAUAAGAAAUAAUUGCCUUUGUUCAUAGUUCUCAACUCUCCAUAGACCGAUGUGCCCCACUUAUAAGGUGUCACGGAUAUUUUAUUUUGUCGACGCUCUUGGUUUAGAAAAUUGUCCCUCG
This 730-nucleotide long non-coding RNA is filed under the name Helianthus annuus (common sunflower). Lineage: Eukaryota; Viridiplantae; Streptophyta; Magnoliopsida; Asterales; Asteraceae. The record is from RNAcentral.